RNAcentral lists this ribosomal RNA (478 nucleotides) under uncultured bacterium. RNAcentral's name for it is "partial 16S ribosomal RNA". It matches the Rfam family "Bacterial small subunit ribosomal RNA", at positions 28 to 523 of the family's 1533-position model. The record is from RNAcentral.
GACGAACGCUGGCGGCGUGCUUAACACAUGCAAGUCGAACGGUAAGGCCCUUCGGGGUACACGAGUGGCGAACGGGUGAGUAACACGUGGGUGAUCUGCCCUGCACUUCGGGAUAAGCCUGGGAAACUGGGUCUAAUACCGGAUAGGACUCCGGACUGCAUGGUCUGGGGUGGAAAGCUUUUGCGGUGUGGGAUGGGCCCGCGGCCUAUCAGAUUGUUGGUGGGGUGAUGGCCUACCAAGGCGACGACGGGUAGCCGGCCUGAGCGGGUGACCGGCCACACUGGGACUGGGAUACGGCCCAGACUCCUACGGGAGGCAGCAGAGGGGAAUAUUGCACAAUGGGCGCAAGCCUGAUGCAGCGACGCCGCGUGAGGGAUGACGGCCUUCGGGUUGUAAACCUCUUUCAGCAUCGACGAAGCGAAAGUGACGGUAGGUGCAGAAGAAGGACCGGCCAACUACGUGCCAGCCGCCGCAGUAA